CCUACGGGUGGCAGCAGUGAGGAAUAUUGGUCAAUGGGCGGAAGCCUGAACCAGCCAAGUCGCGUGAGGGAAUAAGGCCCUACGGGUCGUAAACCUCUUUUGCCGGGGAGCAAGGGCCGGGACGCGUCCCGGCCCGGAGAGUACCCGGAGAAAAAGCAUCGGCUAACUCCGUGCCAGCAGCCGCGGUAAUACGGAGGAUGCGAGCGUUAUCCGGAUUUAUUGGGUUUAAAGGGUGCGUAGGCGGGCUUUUAAGUCAGCGGUAAAAAUUCGGGGCUCAACCCCGUCCGGCCGUUGAAACUGGGGGCCUUGAGUGGGCGAGAAGAAGGCGGAAUGCGUGGUGUAGCGGUGAAAUGCAUAGAUAUCACGAAGAACUCCGAUUGCGAAGGCAGCUUACCAGUCUGCGACUGACGCUCAGGCACGAAAGUGUGGGUAUCGAACAGGAUUAGAUACCCUGGUAGUC
This 460-nucleotide ribosomal RNA is filed under the name uncultured bacterium. RNAcentral's name for it is "partial 16S ribosomal RNA". It matches the Rfam family "Bacterial small subunit ribosomal RNA", at positions 338 to 795 of the family's 1533-position model. The record is from RNAcentral.